UUGUGACCAUGGAUGGUCCCAUCCCACCCAAACCCAUGACCAUGGAUGGUCCCAUCCCACCCAAACCCAUGACCAUGGAUGGUCCCAUCCCACCCAAACCCCCAGCCCCCAAACGCAGCCAGGAGGAAGAGGAGGGUGAUAAUGACGAUGACAACGACCACACCAGCGAUGACCAUGAUGACCGUGAUGAUCACCAUGACCGCAAAGACCACAAUGACCUUCAUGACCACCAUGACCACCAUGACCAUGAUGACCACCAUGACCACCAUGACCACCAUGACCUUGAUGUCCACGAUGGCUGUGAUGACCACAGUCACCAUGAUGACCACAAUAACCUUGAUGUCCUUGAUGACCACCAUGACCAUGAUGACCACCAUGACCCCCUUGACCACCAUGACCAUGAUGAUCACAAAGACCACAAUGACCUUGAUGACCACCGUGACCAUGAUGACCACAAUCACCAUGAUGACCACAAUGACCUUGAUGUCCUUGAUGACCACCAUGACCACCAUGACCACCUUGACCACCAUGACCAUGAUGACCACCAUGACCACAAUGACCUUGAUGACCACCAUGACCACCGUGACCACCAUGACUACCAUGACCUUGAUGAGCACGAUGACUGUGAUGACCGCAAUGACCACCAUGACCGUGAUGUCCACCAUGACCACCAUGACCUUCAUGACCACCAUGACCACCAUGAUCAUCAUGACCACCAUGACCACCAUGACCUCGAUGACCACCAUGACCACAACGACCAUGAUGACCACCAUGGCCUUGAUGACCACAAUGACCACCAUGACCAUGAUGACCACCAUGACCUUGAUGACCACCAUGACCUUGACGACCACCACAACCACCGCGACCGUGAUGACCGCAGCAGCUCAUCCCGCGAUGACGAAGCCGAGGAGGAUCUGGAAGAUCUGGAGGAGCUUGACGAGGACGAGGAGCCCCAUUUCCACACCAACCCCCUGUUCCAGCACCCUCUGCCCCCGGGCGUCCCCCCGUGGCGCCCACACCGUGUCACCCUGCCCGGUGACGGGGACACCCCCGGCCUCGGUGUCACCCUCGGGUGUCACCCUCCGGGAGGAGCCACCACCGGGGACGUCACCGCGGGCUGGGGUCAGUGAGGUCACCCCGACCUUUGGGGUUCAUUUGGGGUGGGGUCACCACGCUGCUGGGGACCCACCCCUGGUGUCUUCUUCUCACCCAGGAACCCCCAGACCCCCGGGCCCGGCGCUCUCGGACCCCCCGGAUGGGCUCCAGGAAUUUGGGGGUCCCCUGGAUCUGCUCCAGGAAUUUGGGGACCCCCCAGAUCCACUCCAGGAAUUUGGGGAUCCCCCAGAUCGGCUCCAGGAAUUUGGGGGUCCCCCAGAUCCACUCCAGGAAUUUGGGGACCCCCCGGAUCGGCUCCAGGAAUUUGGGGACCCCAAGGUUCCACCCCCGGAAUUUGGGGACCCCCCAGAUCCGCCCCCGGAAUUUGGGGGUCCCCCGGAUCGGCUCCAGGAAUUUGGGGACCCCCCAGAUCGGCUCCAGGAAUUUGGGGACCCCAAGGUUCCGCCCCCGGAAUUUGGGGAUCCCCCGGAUCGGCUCCGGGAAU
This is a long non-coding RNA of Cyanistes caeruleus (blue tit), 1600 nucleotides long. Lineage: Eukaryota; Metazoa; Chordata; Aves; Passeriformes; Paridae. The record is from Ensembl.